This 433-nucleotide ribosomal RNA is filed under the name uncultured bacterium. Its description in RNAcentral is "partial 16S ribosomal RNA". It matches the Rfam family "Bacterial small subunit ribosomal RNA", at positions 29 to 507 of the family's 1533-position model. The record is from RNAcentral.
AGCGAACGCUGGCGGCAGGCCUAACACAUGCAAGUCGAACGAACUCUUCGGAGUUAGUGGCGGACGGGUGAGUAACACGUGGGAACGUGCCUUUAGGCUCGGAAUAACUCAGGGAAACUUGUGCUAAUACCGAAUGUGCCCUUCGGGGGAAAGAUUUAUCGCCUUUAGAGCGGCCCGCGUCUGAUUAGCUAGUUGGUGAGGUAAUGGCUCACCAAGGCGACGAUCAGUAGCUGGUCUGAGAGGAUGAUCAGCCACAUUGGGACUGAGACACGGCCCAAACUCCUACGGGAGGCAGCAGUGGGGAAUCUUGCGCAAUGGGCGAAAGCCUGACGCAGCCAUGCCGCGUGAAUGAUGAAGGUCUUAGGAUUGUAAAAUUCUUUCACCGGGGACGAUAAUGACGGUACCCGGAGAAGAAGCCCCGGCUAACUUCGUG